This 8227-nucleotide long non-coding RNA is filed under the name Homo sapiens (human). RNAcentral's name for it is "HSALNT0303605". The record is from RNAcentral. Lineage: Eukaryota; Metazoa; Chordata; Mammalia; Primates; Hominidae.
CUCUGCCUUCGCUCGCGCCGCUCUCCUUCAGGCCUGUUUCAUGGAUAGGGUCCCCUUGCCCGCGUGAAAGUCUCAUUCCUCCUCAGCUCAGAAACACUCCAAGGUCUCGGCGCCCUAUACUGGCCUUCCCUCAUCCGAAUACCCCUCGUGCUCCUGAUGUACUUUUCCAUUCCCACUCCCUACUCUGGCAGUCUAGCUUCUAAGCUGAGGAGUUUGGCCUUCGCUCCAGGUGCGGGGACUCGUGGAAGGAUUUGAUUCGCGCUUGAGAAAGAUCGCUCCGCUCCUGUAAGGAAGAGAGCGUGUAGGGGCUGCAACCAGAGACACAGUCAGAAGCUCCGAGGCUACCGCGAUGGUCCAGCACGCGGUCUGGUGGCACCCUGCAGGAUUUACCAGCUUUUUGCCAACAUUCUGGCCUAUGCAAUCAAUACGUCCCUUCAGCGUUGCACUUGGAUGGAUUGGACCUAUAGUUGUUAUAUAUGGAUAUUGUCUAAUUUAUUUAUUACAGUAUUAACUGACUCCUAUGUUCUGGCCUUCAGAAUUUCUCCUUUGGAUCAAUUACUAGCCUGUCUUACAUUUUCUGCUUCAUUCUUUUAAAAUGUUUAGAGAUGAUUUGCUAAGUUUUCUUCAUUGCUGUCAAUGAUGCAAUUUAAACUGUCAAAAAAAUUUUUUCUCAAGCAGGGUAGUAAUGGUGAACCAUUCCCUUGCUAUUCAGACAGCAUGGUUUAGAUGAGGCGCACCUAUCCCCAGCUUUAGGAAUGGAAACAGGACCCAAGUCUGGCUAAUCAGAGACUGGUUUAGGGUCGGCCCCAUGGUCUGAGCCAGACCAAUGAGAAUUGGUAGAGGGACUUCCUUUUGCAACUUCUAUUUUAGAAUCGGGGGUAUAUAUGCAGGCUUGUUACAGAGGUAUAUUGCAUGGUGCUGAGGUUUGGAGUAUGAACGAAUCCGUCCUUCAGGUAAUGAGCAUAGUACCCAAUAGGUAGUUUCAACCCUUGCCCCCUUCCUCCUUCCCCAGUCUUGUAUUCCCCAGUGUCUGUUGUUCCCAGACAUUGAUCUUUUUCCUCUAUGUUGCUAAGCUGGUAGAAAGGCUGGAGUUGCUGGCAACCAUCUUUGCAACCAUGCAGGGAGAACUACUUUGGAAAUGAAGCAAGAUAAAGAAGAAAACAGAUAAAAGGAGACAAAUGUUUGACUUUGUACAGCUGGAAACCAGCAAUGCUGGAAAUGAGCACUGAAGGCAGUUUAAUGGGUUUGUCACUUGUAACCAAGUGACCCAUGGCAAGCUCACAGAUUUGUAUUGGCAGAAUUCCUCCUUUUCUUUAUUUAAAAUGGUACUUUUGGCCAGGCAAGGUGGUUCACACCUGUAAUCCAAAGACUUUGGGAGGCCGAGGCGCACUGAUCACCCAAGGUCAGAAGUUCGAGAACAGCCUGGCCAACAUUGGCGAAACCCCAUCUCUACUAAAAAUACAAACCAUUAGCUGGCUGCGGUGGCCUUUCUACCAGCUUUUUGUCUCAAAAAAAAAAAAAAAAAAGGUACUUUUGCUUAUCUCUAACCUUCCUCUUCCCCAUAAUUUAACAGUUGCCCAUACUAUCUGUUACUCUGAGCUACUCUCUGCCCCAUUCUCCUCCUCUUAUCUUCAGUUCCUCCUAGGCUGUCAGAGCCAUCUGAAAUGAAAACAUUUAGGCCGGGCAUAGUGGUUCAUGCCUGUAAUCCCAGCACUUUGGGAGGCUGAGGCAGGCGGAUCAGCUGAGGUCAGGAGUUCAAGACCACCCUGGUCAACAUGGUGAAACCCCAUCUCUACUAAAAAUACAAAAAUUAUCCAGACAUGGUGGCACAUGCCUCUACUCCCAGCUACUUGGGAGGCUGAGGCAGGAGAAUCGCUUGAACCUAGGAGGCAGGGGUUGCAGUGAGCCGAGAUUGAGCCACUGCACUCUAGCCUGGGCGACAGAGUGAGACUUUGUCUAAAAAACAUAAAUAAAAUAAAAUGAAAUGAAAACAUUUGCUACUUGAAAUCCUUCAGAUUCCCCAUCGCCUACCUACAGGCAAAACUCUCAAGUUCUUUUGUAUGAUUUAACCACUAUCUACCUGUCCAACUGAAAUCUACCCUUCAGUAAUAUUAUACUUGCACCUCCCUUCAUAAGCUAUGCUACAAGUUUGGUUAUGCAGUUGCCCACCUUUUAAGGUUCAAGCCUUGUCUUCUCCAAAGAGCCACCUCUGACUGCCUCACAGUAAGCUUAGGGCCCGCAACUUACCUGUAACUUUUGUUGCACUUAUGGCCUUUUACAACUAUCAAUUUAUGUAUGUGUCUGUUCUCACUGGUUUAUAAGCUCCCUGAGGACAGAGCCUUGCUUGAGUCAUCUGUCAGCAGCCCAAUAUGGGACAAAAAGUGCAUGCAUUGUAAUUACUGAACAGAACUGAUAGAGGCUCAGCAAUUUGCGCUCCAUAGGUCUAAGUUUGAACUUUUCUAGAAAAGGAUUUGCAGGACGAUCUGACGAAUCUUGGGCUUCCAAAUUAGUUCCAACAGUUCUAGUAUUUUUUUUUUUUUUUGACAGAAGCAAAUAAGUAAGUUUUACUUUGUGAUUAAAACAAAAGUGAAAUGCAUUUAGUCCCAGGAAAUGUCAAUCCUUUCUGCAUCUUACUUUUUUUUGCUGUGACCUCGAGAUUCUCUUGUUCUCUUCAGUUGUAUUGGUCCAUGAUCACUCAUAGCUUUCAUACACAUAUAUACAUCUGAAACUCAGAAAAUUCAUUAGGUAGGAACUCUUUGGAUGCAUCUCCUUUUUUAACCUCAUUGGGAUGAUUUUUCGUUGCACCAUCAUUUUAUAGAGCUUCCUAGCACUGCUGAGCAUGCAGAAUUUUUGCAAAUGCAAUCCAGAGAAACAGACUUGCUAUAUACUAGCUAUUUGAACUUGUCUGAGCUUAUGUGGCAUGGUCUAAAGAAUACUGAAAUAUUUCUGGCAUACCUCUUAAUUGCAGUCACUUUCUCCAGGUUGCUUUAUGGAUUAAAUGAGAUAACCUACUAAAGGACUCCAGUAAAAAGCUAAAAAGGUAGCUAGCUUUUGAGGUGUUGUGGCAGACUGGCAUCUAGUGGCCAGCGAUAAAGGUGCAGACUAGUGUCCACACCUAAGUGGGGACAGUGCAGGCUGUAAUGUCCAUACCUAGUGGGGACAUCAAUGGGGUAUUUGUCAGAGAAGCUCCAUGGCAUAGUUUGGACAUUGUUUCUGGCUGUGCAGGUUCAAACCCAGAGUCUGGCUCUCCCAAAGAUUAUCUGAGUUAUUCUAUUAUUUUACAAAGUUUGAAAUAGCCAUUAGAUACCCUUACAAACUUAUCAUUUUUGUGAUUGAUUUUAAGUCUACUGAAAAUGUCAAAAGAAAUCCAAAACUGAUUGCUAGUAACUAGGCCAGGUGUGGUGGCUCACACCUGUAAUCCCAGCACUUUGGGGCCGGGGCAGGCAGAUUGCUUGAGCUCAGGAGUUCGAGACCAGCCUGGGCAACAUGGCAAAACUCCAUAUUUACAAAAAAUACAAAAAAUUAGCCGGACAUGAUGGUGUGUGCCUGUUGUCCCCGCUACUAGAAGGCUCAGAAAGAAGGAUCACUUGAGCCUGGGAGGCGGAGGUUGCAGUGAGCCAAGACUGUGCCACUGCACUCCAACCUGGGCAACAGAGACCCCAGCUCAAAAAAAUAAAAUUAGUGUUAACUUGUACUGUUUAGCCACAUUCAUUAAGUUUUUAAUUUUAACUCUACUAUCGCACAACCAGGAAUGUACAAGAGAUCUGGAGCCUGAUUUGCAUGGCAGGAAGGAGACCACGUAUUUUUGUUUGGGAUGGGUUUUAGCCACUAUCAGAGACAUAGUUUGUUUCUUAGGGGUUCGGUCCCAGUAGUAUGAUACUUAGUUCAUUUAGGAACUUCCUUUUUUAACGGCUAAGAAAACAUUUUAGCUACUAAAUGAUAUGCAAAGAUAACUUUCCAAAUUUAAGCUGUACUCAAAAAUCCACAGAAUCUGCAAAACUCUCAAGUUUCUAUAUUUAAAUAGAAAUGUGUGUUGAUAUACAUACUUUAAUCAGUCAUUUCUUGCUUUCAAUAUAUUUUAUUCUGACGAAGUUACAAAAGUAGAUACAAAAUACUUUUUUUAGAAGUACAGUUAACUGACUUAGAAAAAUAGAUAAAGCCCCUAAGGAUUUUAAAACACAACAUAAAUUUUUAUGUAAAGAACAUUUAAAAAUAUUUUAGAUGGUAACCAAAACUAACUUACACAAACUAUUUUUGAUGUAGAAUAGAAUGCUGUUCUAUAAUAAGAAGUCUGUAGCACACUGGUAAUCCAUUUGGAUCUACAGAAUACUUGUUUGGAACAGAAUCUGAUAAUGAGAGAAAACUCAAAUGAAUGUCAGUGCAGUUGCUUCAAAAAAAUUACUGCUACCACAUGUACUAUCAUCCCCCAAGGCCUUUUACAGUCUGAAAUAUCAAAAUUGAAAGCAAAAAUAGGAUGACCAAAGGACUACUAUUUUACCUCUUUUCAGAACUCUACAAUAGUAGAAACUAAAUUCCCUUAUGGAUCUCAGGGGGAAAUAAUGUGCCUGUUGAAGGGGCUCAGUGUUUGGUGUCCAGGCUGGCAUUUUUCAGGUGAGGGUUUCAUACUGACAGGAGGCAGGCUCCUAAAACAAGGCGGUAGCACCAGCACCAUGACUAGGGCUGCUUUAAAACAAAUUUCUAGGACUUACGCUCUUUGGGCCUGAUUUGUUAAUGCUUAUGAGGUAAUGAUAUUAUGUUUGAGAAGCUCUACUUCUAGUAUACCUCAAUGCUCAGAGAGAAAGCCAACAAUACAAUCAGGAAACCACAAUAUUGACAAAACUUAGUACUACCACCAAGAUUGUUCCUCUUGCCUUGGCACUACUAAAAAACUUUACCUUUGUUACUAAAGUCAUGGUGAAUACAGAUUUUGCAUUUCUCAUGUAAGCAGCUAUAUAAGCUAGGGUUCUACAAGCCUUAGAUGAAAGGAAAAACUUUGCUGGAAGCCCUGUAAAAAUCACUUUAUUCACAAUCUGAAGAAUGAAAGACAAAUUUGGCUGUCAAUACAAAAACUGUAGUACAAGGAAGUUCAACUGUUUAAAAAUCUGCACAUCACUGUACAAGUGUUUUUUGAAGGCCUGAAAAUUAAAGCACCAUAGGAUUAACUGCAUAAUUUAGCAAGCACUCUCUACCCCAUGACUGUAAUCAUGUAUGAAGAGCAGAGAUCAGACACUGAGAGGAGAUGGCUUCUGAUUAGCAAGGGGGAAGGGAGUGAGUGUUAUGGAACAGGCAAACCUUGGGCAUGGGGAGAUAAAAGUGAGAAGAGUCAAAAAGAUUGAUUUCUAUAGGCCGGGCACGGUGGCUCAUGCCUGUAAUCCCAACACUUUGGGAGGCUGAGGCGGGCGGAUUGCGAGGUAAGGAGAUGGAGACCAUCCUGGCUAACACGGUGAAACCCCAUCUCUACUAAAAAUACAAAAAAUUAGCCAGGCAUGACUAAAAAUAGAAAAAAUUAGCUGGGCGUGGUGGCGGGCACCUGUAGUUCCAGCUACUCAGGAGAGGCUGGGGCAGGAGAAUGGCAUGAACCUGGGAGGCAGAGCUUGCAGUGAGCCGAGAUCCCACCACUGUACUCCAGCCUGGGUGACAGAGUGAGACUCUGUCUCAAAAAAAAAAAAAAAAAAGAUUGAUUUCGUCAAACUGUUAUCAAAGGUUGGCCCUCUAGCCAACUCAGGAAGGCGCCAUCCUCUUCCCAUUAUCUCCCCUUCCUCCAAUUCUCCUCCUCCCCUUGGCUCCCUAGCCUUGGAGGUAAACACUAAUAUUUCAGUGCACUGUUGGUUAAGCCAGAUUGGCUUGGGAACCUGGUAAUGUUUUUAUUUUUAUUUUAAAAAAGGACAGUCUUGAGUCUCAAAAUACCAACACAUCUCUGAUUUAUGUCCCAUUUAUAAGCUGCCUUUACUACUGUCCUGACAUGUGAUCGUCUUUCAUUUGCUUUGGAGCUUAGUGGUGAAGAGAGGGAACAUUUCCAUAACUGAAAAUAAAUGGAGAAAAGUGGUAACUCUUUUGUUUGAGAAUAUUUGAAAUACUAGAAAUAAUGAGGAAAGUACAAGCCUAGCUGAGAAACUAGUUUCAUCACUUGUGGACUUAAAAAAGUAAAGCUAACAGGGUUUAAAGUUGAGAGGCAGUUCACAUCCUAAGUGAUACCUAGAAACCUGCUUUCUUGUUCGCAAAUGAUCAACAUGAACAUACAGAAUGGCUGACAUUUGGACCUUUGGAUAAGCUUAAAACAUGGAUUGUGGAAUGUCUAAUAGAGGGCUUUUCUCUCUUUUUUUUAAUAAUGACUGUCCCACACUUUAAUUCCUCAAUGAUAUGUGGAUGCUAACUAAAUCAGAUGAAAUGUUUUCUUUAAAAUUCUGUAUAUAUUUAAGAAUUUCUAGGAAAUGAUUAUUUAAAAUGGAGUUUCUAAGUAAUUAUUUUCUUUAUAGUUUAGUGGAGUAAGAAAAAUAAAUCUAAAAAAAAACAUCAAAUCUAACCUUUAUCAAAGCCAUCGAGGAGGUUGGUAAAAUACUUUGCAAAAAUCACAGCUCUGAACCACAUAGAAUGCUGAUGAACUUAAAGCUUUGCCAGUUUGGCAAGUCUUCCAGUAUAAUACUUGUUGUGCCUCAGUACAUUUUAAAUAGACAGCUAGAGUUUACUAAAUCCUAGGAAUCAAAUAAAAAAUAAAUGUUUUCUUCACUGAAGGGGAAGGCUUUUAUAUCCCAAUAGAAAUAGAGGAAUUUCAAGUUUUGAUACAAAAACAAUUAAAACAAGAUAAAACCCAAGUGGAAGCUCAGUCCAUCUUUUGAAUAUUAACAAAAUGAGGAUUUUUUUAAAACUUAUUUCUCCCAUUUUGUUUCCUUUAAACACAUACACUCACUCACUCUCUCAAGAAUAGGUAGCACACCAAAACUUUAUCUGUGUUAUAAGAUGUGUACACCUUCAUGGUUUAUUGUGGUUUUCCUUAAGUUUUAUCCUUAUUAGGAUGAAGUUCAUGCAUUUCUACACUACUCUUAACUAAGGCUCAAGAGACAAUAAAAACAUAGAAGUAAUUUUUUAAUAAAAGGAAAUAAAAUAAUCAAGUACUCUGAGUAUUUUCCUCCAUUCUCUUAUCCAGAAUUUUAAGGCCUCUGAAAAAUAAUGAAAUAAUAAAAAUAGUGGUUUUGAGAUCUAAAUUUAUUAAUAUUUUGGAUUCCUUUUCUCAGCCAAAAGCUACUAUCUGAAUUAAGCUUUUCAGUUUAAAAGCCUGGAAGACCAUCCUUAGAAGACAUUAAAAAAUUACUUCUGAUACACACACUCCUAAUAAUUUAGAUAGAUAUGAAAACAAUCUCAAAUAAAGAUCAAAAAAUAAAGUCCCUGUAAAAAUAACUUUGGUUGCUCCCACCCACACGUCAUAUGAUGAUUUAAACUGCAAUCAUGAAUUUUGAAAAAAUAGACGUAUCUUAUCUAUAAAAACACUACCAUACAAACUUGAAACUAAAAUGUUAUCUGAAGUGACACAGAUGUUCUAAAUCUCAAGGAUACUGAAAAAUACAUUUUUUAUUCGUAAAAUAAAAGAAUAAAACCAAUCUGAUUGUGUUAUUAGGAAAUUUGUUCUGGAAACUUAUUCAUAAAUUAUUGAUGGAAAUUCUUAAUGUCCAUUGUGCUGUCACCUAAAACAGAUUCAAUCAUUUUCUUGUAAAGAAAUGACUGAGUAAAUGAGUAAAAGAAUAAUAAGUAAAUUUAUAAGCUACAGGUUAACCAUCACAUAUUACAACCAAGUAUGACUAUGUGAUAACAACAAGAGUGGUCACACAGUACUUAAGAUUUGGCUGUGUCCUUAAGGUCUUACUCGGAAACUAUCACACCAACCUACCUUUGGGAUAAUUUUAUCAGUAGACACAGGCAAUGGGUAUCUUUUUAUCCUGUUUUCUUAAAGUUUGUAUCACUAGUCUAUAACAGAUAGCAAUGAGAUAGUUCUAGCAAUAGAUGAAGCAAGGGGGUAACUGUGUUCUAGAAGAAACAUUUAUCUGUCUUUUGAUCCAAGUUUCUCUAUUAAUUCUUGAAGAGGUGCCAGCUCACGCCUAUCAAUCAGAUUAAACUCCUAAAAAGAGAAGAAAAAUAACAAUUAAAAAUGGAUCUAAAACUGAAACUCUGUAAAUGUCUUUUGGAGAAGGGAUUCCCAACUCUAGUUUUCUGAAGUCCAAAAGAAUGAUGAAAU